This 650-nucleotide ribosomal RNA is filed under the name uncultured bacterium. Its description in RNAcentral is "bacterial SSU rRNA". It matches the Rfam family "Bacterial small subunit ribosomal RNA", at positions 232 to 885 of the family's 1533-position model. The record is from RNAcentral.
CGCGGCCUAUCAGCUUGUUGGUGGGGUAAUGGCCUACCAAGGCGACGAUGGGUAGCCGGCCUGAGAGGGUGUCCGGCCACACUGGGACUGAGAUACGGCCCAGACUCCUACGGGAGGCAGCAGUGAGGAAUAUUGCGCAAUGGGCGAAAGCCUGACGCAGCGACGCCGCGUGGACGAUGAAGGCCUUCGGGUUGUAAAGUCCUGUCAGGAGGGACGAAGCGGCCUCGUGCCGUGACGGUACCUCGGUAGGAAGCCCCGGCUAACUACGUGCCAGCAGCCGCGGUAAGACGUAGGGGGCUAGCGUUGUCCGGAAUUACUGGGCGUAAAGAGCUCGUAGGCGGCCUGUUAAGUCGGGUGUGAAAGCCCUCGGCUCAACCGAGGAAUUGCACUCGAUACUGGCGGGCUAGAGUCUGGUAGAGGGAGGUGGAAUUCCCGGUGUAGCGGUGAAAUGCGCAGAUAUCGGGAGGAACACCGGUGGCGAAGGCGGCCUCCUGGGCCACGACUGACGCUGAGGAGCGAAAGCUAGGGGAGCGAACAGGAUUAGAUACCCUGGUAGUCCUAGCCGUAAACGAUGGGCACUAGGUGUGGGGGGUUACCAACUCCCUCCGUGCCGAAGCUAACGCAUUAAGUGCCCCGCCUGGGGAGUACGG